This 293-nucleotide long non-coding RNA is filed under the name Pan troglodytes (chimpanzee). Its description in RNAcentral is "long non-coding RNA NONPTRT014542". Lineage: Eukaryota; Metazoa; Chordata; Mammalia; Primates; Hominidae. The record is from RNAcentral.
AGGCUGCAUUUAUUGAAGAGAAAUCCCACAAUGUGUAUUUUAGUAUCUUAUGGUCAAAAAUAUAAAGUAUUUACUCUUUAUCCCAAAUAUCUAAAACAGAAAGAUCAGCGCAAAACAAAAACUUGCUAAAUAUUAAAAUGUUUAUUUUUGAAAUUACAGUUUUUUAGUGAAUUUAUCAAUCGGUUAGCCCAGGCAAGUAAAAGAAAAAAUUAGUCAUGCCCAGGCUGCUGAUAUCUUAUUGUUGUAAUUGGCUUAUGAAAAUGCUAAUGUGGAUUGCCAACAAGCAAUGCAGG